UACAGAGGUCCCAAGCGUUGUUCGGAUUCACUGGGCGUAAAGGGUGCGUAGGUGGUGAGGUAAGUCGGAUGUGAAAUCUCCAGGCUCAACCUGGAAAUGGCAUCGGAAACUACCUUGCUCGAGGUUUGGAGGGGGGACUGGAAUACUUGGUGUAGCAGUGAAAUGCGUAGAUAUCAAGUGGAACACCAGUGGCGAAGGCGAGUCCCUGGACAAUACCUGACACUGAGGCACGAAAGCCAAGGGAGCAAACAGG
This 253-nucleotide ribosomal RNA is filed under the name uncultured bacterium. RNAcentral's name for it is "partial 16S ribosomal RNA". It matches the Rfam family "Bacterial small subunit ribosomal RNA", at positions 524 to 776 of the family's 1533-position model. The record is from RNAcentral.